Long non-coding RNA from Ictalurus punctatus (channel catfish), 1404 nucleotides. NCBI's taxonomy places the organism in Eukaryota, Metazoa, Chordata, Actinopteri, Siluriformes, Ictaluridae. The record is from Ensembl.
GUUUCGAAAAGCUUCGUUUCUCCCAUCCCUAGUUACAAAUAUUGAUUUACCUUUAAAUCUAAAAGCGUUAAAUGGCGUAAUCUUUGCUCCGCUUUUUCGUUAUAGUCUUCUUGAUCUCAUUGUGCGUUUUGGCACUACGCAGAUUGCCGCGCUUCAUGCAAGUGCAUACACGUCACAAUGCUACAAUCUCGUGUGCUCUCGCGAGAUUACGCCUCCAGGUCGUGGAAAGUUCCAGACAAUACAGCUCGGAAGUCUAUAUUCAUCAAUCGUUGUUUCAGCGUUGGAGCGACAACUGACAUUAUUUCAACCAUAUUUCAAUGUUGGUUGGUCGUGUGCCGGCUGGGAACGUACACGGACUGGAACACGGACCUACAUGAUUACACUCUGGCCUAGUAUGGACAACUGUUAUGGGCCCUCUCCCAUUUUGCAUCCGGUCCUCUUGACAAUGGCACCCACAGUUACCCAGCAGACAGACCUGUGCUGAAAAAAAAAAAAAUUCUACCUCUCUCUUGUCCAGUUUUCCACCCUUUCAGCCCUUCUUUCUGGAAAAAGGGAGUAAAUUGAGCUUGGAGAUGAUUCCUGAACCAGUGGCUGCUCUGUGCUCUCCAUUUUUUGCUUCAGGAACAACAUUGGAGUUGUGGUGACAACAGUGGAAUAUCUAUCCUGAAAACACUCCUUGAUACUAGUUCUGAUACAAAGUUGUGUUAUCCGGGUUUACAGAAAUGGUAUUGAAUGCAUAAAUAGAUCCAUUAAGCUAAUAAUGAUCACUCACUAAUGAAGUCAUGGUGGUAGUUGUGGAAGUAGCCAAUGCACUGUUCAGCCAAUGAUAUAUGAGGGAGUGGAAUACUCAUCUCCAUCAGUCCCGCCAUGGCUCCACUAAUAGGAUUAAGGCCUGGAACUAUAGGGAAUGUGAGAAUUUGUCUGAGCACACAACACACACACACACAUCAUACUCUAAGCCAGCAGAAAGAUGCACAUUCAAAAUGACACUGACUGAAACAAAAGCCCAUAUAAUUAUUCUCACUAAGAGUGUCAAGUUCUCUUGUUAUUUAAUUAUAAUACAAUGAAGGAGAAUAACAAUAUUUCAUUAAAAUUUCAUUCUAACCCAAAAGGCAUAUUUGUGAAGCAAAGUAACACCUCAUACUAUUUUUUGCCAGUUAUUAGACUUGGCACAUUAAACAUUUUAGGUAUAAGCAUAUGUAGCUGAGUUGCAUGUUUUAAAAAAAAAUAAAGAAUUAAAAAGUACUCAGGAAAUAACAUUUGACCAACUCAUUGCUGUGUAAUGUACUGUAUUGUAGAGAUUUAAUAAUAUGUAAUAAUAUGUAUAAAUGUAAUAAUGUUAUACUAUAUCUGAAGGUAUAAGCUAAUAUAAAAAGAUUAAAUAGAUUUACCAGUUAAAAUUAU